AUUGAACGCUGGCGGCAUGCCUUACACAUGCAAGUCGAACGGCAGCACGGGAGCAAUCCUGGUGGCGAGUGGCGAACGGGUGAGUAAUAUAUCGGAACGUGCCCAGUAGUGGGGGAUAACCCGGCGAAAGUCGGACUAAUACCGCAUACGACCUACGGGUGAAAGCGGGGGAGUCGCAAGACCUCGCGCUAUCGGAGCGGCCGAUAUCAGAUUAGCUUGUUGGUGGGGUAAAAGCCUACCAAGGCGACGAUCUGUAGCUGGUCUGAGAGGACGACCAGCCACACUGGGACUGAGACACGGCCCAGACUCCUACGGGAGGCAGCAGUGGGGAAUUUUGGACAAUGGGCGCAAGCCUGAUCCAGCCAUGCCGCGUGCGGGAAGAAGGCCUCGGUUGUAACG
Molecule: ribosomal RNA, 399 nt
Filed under: uncultured bacterium
Lineage: Bacteria
Description: bacterial SSU rRNA
Rfam family: Bacterial small subunit ribosomal RNA
Source: RNAcentral